Molecule: ribosomal RNA, 322 nt
Filed under: uncultured bacterium
Lineage: Bacteria
Description: bacterial SSU rRNA
Rfam family: Bacterial small subunit ribosomal RNA
Source: RNAcentral
AAUCAACGCUGGCGGCGUGCCUCAGACAUGCAAGUCGAACGAUUAAAGCUCUCUUCGGAGAGUGUAUAGAGUGGCGCACGGGUGAGUAACACGUAAGUAAUCUACCUUCGAGUGGGGAAUAACGUCCGGAAACGGACGCUAAUACCGCAUAAUGCAGCGGCAUCGCAAGAUGACAGUUGUUAAAGAUUUAUCGCUUGAAGAGGAGCUUACGGCGGAUUAGCAGUUGGUAAGGUAAUGGCUUACCAAGGCUACGAUCUGUAACCGGUCUAAGAGGACGGUCGGUCACACUGACACUGAAUAACGGGUCAGACCCCUACCGGGA